Heterocephalus glaber (naked mole-rat) is the source of this 1430-nucleotide long non-coding RNA. The record is from Ensembl. NCBI's taxonomy places the organism in Eukaryota, Metazoa, Chordata, Mammalia, Rodentia, Bathyergidae.
CAAGCUGUUUGCUUCUUCACUGCCUCCUGCCUGCUCUGCCAUGGACUGUUUCUCCUCUGUGAUGUCCCCCCGUCAUGCCACUCUGCCUUGGAACCAGGGGACUAUGGACUAAAACCUCUAUAAACUGAACCUCUCCUUAAAGCUACCCAAGUGUAUCCUUCACCAAAACAAGGAACUAGACCAAGACAGCAGAAGAUGUGGAAUUCAGGUAAUAGUGUCCAGCCCAAGAAAUAGGCAGAGAAUUCCCAGAUCUUUGUAGCAGGCAAGAGCAAAAACCACCUGGGCUAUAGAAGGAGACCAGAAAACUCCCAGAAGAAGGUGCACAGCAGAUCCAAUUGACGUGCAAGAGAGUUGACCUGAUAGAAAACACUUUUGAGAAACAUAUUAUGGAGCCACUGAAAGGCACAGUAAGUCUUAACCUGAGAGUUGGAGAAACUCUAAACACUGCAUGAUGCUUAAAGGAAUGAAUCUGAAGAUGGUAGAGCAUCGAUCCAGAGAGCUUGACUUAAUGCUACUUCUUUUUUAAAUUAUUGUAUAACUGUGUGUGUGAUAGCAGCAGGUAUUAGUCUGAUAAAAAUAGACAAACUCAUGAUUGGGUCACGACAAACCCAGGAAGACCUGAAACUGUGGGCAGGAGAUGUUACUGCCCAUACACUGUGACUUCAGCUGGGGGACGGGCCCUGCAGUACACCUUCGGGUUCAACUCUACCACCAAACUCAAGUCUCCGAGGCUCAGCCUCUGUCACUGCCUGUCUGUGACCUGGUGAUAGUUUUCCUUUUUGGAUUGGAAGGAUUUUUCUAGCACAUAGCAAGAUUCUCCUAAGACUGACCUCCCAUAGCCUAACUUUGGUUCCAUCUCUGAGUAAAAGAUGCUUCCAACCUUCAAGGGCAAUUGCUUGUGAGGGUUCUGAAAGCUGGGGAAAGGUCAUAAAUAAUGUUCUUCCUUUAAAUAACCCAUAAAGCAGGUACCAGCAGUGAGCCUUUUAACAUCUCUUUCUGCCUGUUCGGGACUAGCUUACUGGUGGAGUGUGUGAGCUUCUGGAGGAGUCCUCCAAGGCAAUGGAGAGGUGAGAGAGAAGCACUCAGAGCCAGAUCCUCUGCCAGCCAUUCGCUCCAGUGGGGCGAUCUCAGCGUGCUGUCCCCGCGCACAUGCCAGGCAGUCCUGUUGCUUGUAUCCUAGAUCCCCGCUACUUGCCCUAUCUGGAACAUCCCCCUCUCACCCCAUCUCUAGAUCUAAAUGCUUCAUCUUCCUCAGCAGAUCUUGCAGUCUGGUGAGUCCUGGCUUUAGAUUCUGUCAGAUCUGGAUUUGUCCAUAUAAGGGGCAAAUCUCUUUAUCUCUUUAAGCCUCAAUUUCCUCCUCUGUCUAGUAGGCAUAAAUAGCUGCAGUUAUGACAUCAGGUGACUGUCUUAAUUCAUAUGUGUACUGUGUC